UGACCUAAACCCUCACCAGAGUAACAAUUGGAGGGCAAGUCUGGUGCCAGCAGCCGCGGUAAUUCCAGCUCCAAUAGCGUAUAUUAAACUUGUUGCAGUUAAAAAGCUCGUAGUUAAAUUUUUGCGUGGUGUUAAUAUUGACUAAUGUCGAGGUUGCACUUCGCUUUUGGGAUUUAUCCCUUUUUACUUUGAGAAAAUUAGAGUGUUUCAAGCAGACUUUUGUCUUGAAUACUUCAGCAUGGAAUAAUAGAGUAGGACUUUGGUUCUAUUUUGUUGGUUUGUGGACCUUAGUAAUGGUUAAUAGGAACGGUUGGGGGCAUUCGUAUUUAACUGUCAGAGGUGAAAUUCUUAGAUUUGUUAAAGACGAACUACUGCGAAAGCAUUUGCCAAGGACGUUUUCAUUAAUCAAGAACGAAAGUUAGGGGAUCGAAGACGAUCAGAUACCGUCGUAGUCCUAACCAUAAACUAUGCCGACUAGGGAUUGGAGAUCGUCAUUUUUCCGACUCCUUCAGCACCUU
This 518-nucleotide ribosomal RNA is filed under the name Babesia divergens. RNAcentral's name for it is "SSU rRNA". It matches the Rfam family "Eukaryotic small subunit ribosomal RNA", at positions 521 to 1089 of the family's 1831-position model. The record is from RNAcentral. Lineage: Eukaryota; Apicomplexa; Aconoidasida; Piroplasmida; Babesiidae.